This 594-nucleotide ribosomal RNA is filed under the name uncultured bacterium. RNAcentral's name for it is "bacterial SSU rRNA". It matches the Rfam family "Bacterial small subunit ribosomal RNA", at positions 338 to 943 of the family's 1533-position model. The record is from RNAcentral.
CCUACGGGAGGCAGCAGUGGGGAAUAUUGGGCAAUGGAGGAAACUCUGACCCAGCGACGCCGCGUGCGGGAUGAAGGCCUUCGGGUUGUAAACCGCUUUCAGUAGGGAAGAAGCGAAAGUGACGGUACCUACAGAAGAAGCACCGGCUAACUAUGUGCCAGCAGCCGCGGUAAUACAUAGGGUGCAAGCGUUGUCCGGAAUUAUUGGGCGUAAAGAGCUCGUAGGUGGUUCGUCACGUCGGAUGUGAAAAUCUGGGGCUCAACCCCAGACCUGCAUUCGAUACGGGCGAUCUAGAGUGUGGUAGGGGAGACUGGAAUUCCUGGUGUAGCGGUGGAAUGCGCAGAUAUCAGGAGGAACACCAAUGGCGAAGGCAGGUCUCUGGGCCAUUACUGACACUGAGGAGCGAAAGCGUGGGGAGCGAACAGGAUUAGAUACCCUGGUAGUCCACGCCGUAAACGGUGGGCACUAGUUGUGGGAACCUUCCACGGUUUCUGCGACGCAGCUAACGCAUUAAGUGCCCCGCCUGGGGAGUACGAUCGCAGGAUUAAAACUCAAGGAAUUGACGGCUGAGACUGACGAGCACAGGAGGUAGAG